This 476-nucleotide ribosomal RNA is filed under the name uncultured organism. Its description in RNAcentral is "partial 16S ribosomal RNA". It matches the Rfam family "Bacterial small subunit ribosomal RNA", at positions 334 to 800 of the family's 1533-position model. The record is from RNAcentral.
CACUCCUGCGGGAGGGCAGCAGUGGGGAAUUUUGGACAAUGGGCGAAAGCCUGAUCCAGCAAUGCCGCGUGAGUGAAGAAGGCCUUCGGGUUGUAAAGCUCUUUUGUCAGGGAAGAAACGGUGAAAGCUAAUAUCUUUUGCUAAUGACGGUACCUGAAGAAUAAGCACCGGCUAACUACGUGCCAGCAGCCGCGGUAAUACGUAGGGUGCAAGCGUUAAUCGGAAUUACUGGGCGUAAAGCGUGCGCAGGCGGUUUUGUAAGUCUGAUGUGAAAUCCCCGGGCUCAACCUGGGAAUUGCAUUGGAGACUGCAAGGCUAGAAUCUGGCAGAGGGGGGUAGAAUUCCACGUGUAGCAGUGAAAUGCGUAGAUAUGUGGAGGAACACCGAUGGCGAAGGCAGCCCCCUGGGUCAAGAUUGACGCUCAUGCACGAAAGCGUGGGGAGCAAACAGGAUUAGAAACCCGAGUAGUCCCAUGA